This 1207-nucleotide ribosomal RNA is filed under the name metagenome. Its description in RNAcentral is "bacterial SSU rRNA". It matches the Rfam family "Bacterial small subunit ribosomal RNA", at positions 289 to 1520 of the family's 1533-position model. The record is from RNAcentral.
GGACUGAGAGGUUGAACGGCCACAUUGGGACUGAGACACGGCCCAGACUCCUACGUGAGGCAGCAGUGGGGAAUAUUGCACAAUGGGGGAAACCCUGAUGCAGCGACGCCGCGUGGAGGAAGAAGGUCUUCGGAUUGUAAACUCCUGUUGUUGAGGAAGAUAAUGACGGUACUCAACAAGGAAGUGACGGCUAACUACGUGCCAGCAGCCGCGGUAAAACGUAGGUCACAAGCGUUGUCCGGAAUUACUGGGUGUAAAGGGAGCGCAGGCGGGAAGACAAGUUGGAAGUGAAAUCCAUGGGCUCAACCCAUGAACUGCUUUCAAAACUGUUUUUCUUGAGUAGUGCAGAGGUAGGCGGAAUUCCCGGUGUAGCGGUGGAAUGCGUAGAUAUCGGGAGGAACACCAGUGGCGAAGGCGGCCUACUGGGCACCAACUGACGCUGAGGCUCGAAAGUGUGGGUAGCAAACAGGAUUAGAUACCCUGGUAGUCCACACUGUAAACGAUGAUUACUAGGUGUUGGAGGAUUGACCCCUUCAGUGCCGCAGUUAACACAAUAAGUAAUCCACCUGGGGAGUACGACCGCAAGGUUGAAACUCAAAGGAAUUGACGGGGGCCCGCACAAGCAGUGGAGUAUGUGGUUUAAUUCGACGCAACGCGAAGAACCUUACCAAGUCUUGACAUCCUGCGACGGUGCUGGAAACAGUACUUUCCUUCGGGACGCAGAGACAGGUGGUGCAUGGUUGUCGUCAGCUCGUGUCGUGAGAUGUUGGGUUAAGUCCCGCAACGAGCGCAACCCUUAUGGUCAGUUACUACGCAAGAGGACUCUGGCCAGACUGCCGUUGACAAAACGGAGGAAGGUGGGGAUGACGUCAAAUCAUCAUGCCCUUUAUGACUUGGGCUACACACGUACUACAAUGGCGUUAAACAAAGAGAAGCAAGACCGCGAGGUGGAGCAAAACUCAGAAACAACGUCCCAGUUCGGACUGCAGGCUGCAACUCGCCUGCACGAAGUCGGAAUUGCUAGUAAUCGCAGAUCAGCAUGCUGCGGUGAAUACGUUCCCGGGCCUUGUACACACCGCCCGUCACACCAUGAGAGCCGGGGGGACCCGAAGUCGGUAGUCUAACCGCAAGGAGGACGCCGCCGAAGGUAAAAACUGGUGAUUGGGGUGAAGUCGUAACAAGGUAGCCGUAGGAGAACCUGCGGCUG